Molecule: ribosomal RNA, 2666 nt
Filed under: Escherichia coli
Lineage: Bacteria; Pseudomonadati; Pseudomonadota; Gammaproteobacteria; Enterobacterales; Enterobacteriaceae
Description: partial 23S ribosomal RNA
Rfam family: Bacterial large subunit ribosomal RNA
Source: RNAcentral
CCGGCGAUUUCCGAAUGGGGAAACCCAGUGUGUUUCGACACACUAUCAUUAACUGAAUCCAUAGGUUAAUGAGGCGAACCGGGGGAACUGAAACAUCUAAGUACCCCGAGGAAAAGAAAUCAACCGAGAUUCCCCCAGUAGCGGCGAGCGAACGGGGAGCAGCCCAGAGCCUGAAUCAGUGUGUGUGUUAGUGGAAGCGUCUGGAAAGGCGCGCGAUACAGGGUGACAGCCCCGUACACAAAAAUGCACAUGCUGUGAGCUCGAUGAGUAGGGCGGGACACGUGGUAUCCUGUCUGAAUAUGGGGGGACCAUCCUCCAAGGCUAAAUACUCCUGACUGACCGAUAGUGAACCAGUACCGUGAGGGAAAGGCGAAAAGAACCCCGGCGAGGGGAGUGAAAAAGAACCUGAAACCGUGUACGUACAAGCAGUGGGAGCCUCUUUAUGGGGUGACUGCGUACCUUUUGUAUAAUGGGUCAGCGACUUAUAUUCUGUAGCAAGGUUAACCGAAUAGGGGAGCCGAAGGGAAACCGAGUCUUAACUGGGCGUUAAGUUGCAGGGUAUAGACCCGAAACCCGGUGAUCUAGCCAUGGGCAGGUUGAAGGUUGGGUAACACUAACUGGAGGACCGAACCGACUAAUGUUGAAAAAUUAGCGGAUGACUUGUGGCUGGGGGUGAAAGGCCAAUCAAACCGGGAGAUAGCUGGUUCUCCCCGAAAGCUAUUUAGGUAGCGCCUCGUGAAUUCAUCUCCGGGGGUAGAGCACUGUUUCGGCAAGGGGGUCAUCCCGACUUACCAACCCGAUGCAAACUGCGAAUACCGGAGAAUGUUAUCACGGGAGACACACGGCGGGUGCUAACGUCCGUCGUGAAGAGGGAAACAACCCAGACCGCCAGCUAAGGUCCCAAAGUCAUGGUUAAGUGGGAAACGAUGUGGGAAGGCCCAGACAGCCAGGAUGUUGGCUUAGAAGCAGCCAUCAUUUAAAGAAAGCGUAAUAGCUCACUGGUCGAGUCGGCCUGCGCGGAAGAUGUAACGGGGCUAAACCAUGCACCGAAGCUGCGGCAGCGACACUAUGUGUUGUUGGGUAGGGGAGCGUUCUGUAAGCCUGUGAAGGUGUACUGUGAGGUAUGCUGGAGGUAUCAGAAGUGCGAAUGCUGACAUAAGUAACGAUAAAGCGGGUGAAAAGCCCGCUCGCCGGAAGACCAAGGGUUCCUGUCCAACGUUAAUCGGGGCAGGGUGAGUCGACCCCUAAGGCGAGGCCGAAAGGCGUAGUCGAUGGGAAACAGGUUAAUAUUCCUGUACUUGGUGUUACUGCGAAGGGGGGACGGAGAAGGCUAUGUUGGCCGGGCGACGGUUGUCCCGGUUUAAGCGUGUAGGCUGGUUUUCCAGGCAAAUCCGGAAAAUCAAGGCUGAGGCGUGAUGACGAGGCACUACGGUGCUGAAGCAACAAAUGCCCUGCUUCCAGGAAAAGCCUCUAAGCAUCAGGUAACAUCAAAUCGUACCCCAAACCGACACAGGUGGUCAGGUAGAGAAUACCAAGGCGCUUGAGAGAACUCGGGUGAAGGAACUAGGCAAAAUGGUGCCGUAACUUCGGGAGAAGGCACGCUGAUAUGUAGGUGAAGCGACUUGCUCGUGGAGCUGAAAUCAGUCGAAGAUACCAGCUGGCUGCAACUGUUUAUUAAAAACACAGCACUGUGCAAACACGAAAGUGGACGUAUACGGUGUGACGCCUGCCCGGUGCCGGAAGGUUAAUUGAUGGGGUUAGCGGUAACGCGAAGCUCUUGAUCGAAGCCCCGGUAAACGGCGGCCGUAACUAUAACGGUCCUAAGGUAGCGAAAUUCCUUGUCGGGUAAGUUCCGACCUGCACGAAUGGCGUAAUGAUGGCCAGGCUGUCUCCACCCGAGACUCAGUGAAAUUGAACUCGCUGUGAAGAUGCAGUGUACCCGCGGCAAGACGGAAAGACCCCGUGAACCUUUACUAUAGCUUGACACUGAACAUUGAGCCUUGAUGUGUAGGAUAGGUGGGAGGCUUUGAAGUGUGGACGCCAGUCUGCAUGGAGCCGGCCUUGAAAUACCACCCUUUAAUGUUUGAUGUUCUAACGUUGGCCCCUGAUCGGGGUUGCGGACAGUGUCUGGUGGGUAGUUUGACUGGGGCGGUCUCCUCCUAAAGAGUAACGGAGGAGCACGAAGGUUGGCUAAUCCUGGUCGGACAUCAGGAGGUUAGUGCAAUGGCAUAAGCCAGCUUGACUGCGAGCGUGACGGCGCGAGCAGGUGCGAAAGCAGGUCAUAGUGAUCCGGUGGUUCUGAAUGGAAGGGCCAUCGCUCAACGGAUAAAAGGUACUCCGGGGAUAACAGGCUGAUACCGCCCAAGAGUUCAUAUCGACGGCGGUGUUUGGCACCUCGAUGUCGGCUCAUCACAUCCUGGGGCUGAAGUAGGUCCCAAGGGUAUGGCUGUUCGCCAUUUAAAGUGGUACGCGAGCUGGGUUUAGAACGUCGUGAGACAGUUCGGUCCCUAUCUGCCGUGGGCGCUGGAGAACUGAGGGGGGCUGCUCCUAGUACGAGAGGACCGGAGUGGACGCAUCACUGGUGUUCGGGUUGUCAUGCCAAUGGCACUGCCCGGUAGCUAAAUGCGGAAGAGAUAAGUGCUGAAAGCAUCUAAGCACGAAGCUUG